This 562-nucleotide ribosomal RNA is filed under the name uncultured Bacteriovorax sp. RNAcentral describes it as "bacterial SSU rRNA". It matches the Rfam family "Bacterial small subunit ribosomal RNA", at positions 362 to 918 of the family's 1533-position model. The record is from RNAcentral. Lineage: Bacteria; Pseudomonadati; Bdellovibrionota; Bacteriovoracia; Bacteriovoracales; Bacteriovoracaceae.
AUUUGCGCAUGGGACGAAGUCUGACGCAGCAACGCCGCGUGAGUGAGGAAGGCCUUCGGGUUGUAAAGCUCUGUCAGAUGGGAAGAAAACUACUGGUCUAAUAGGCCAUGUACUUGACGGUACCAUCAAAGGAAGCACCGGCUAACUUCGUGCCAGCAGCCGCGGUAAUACGAAGGGUGCAAGCGUUACUCGGAUUUACUGGGCGUAAAGCGCGCGCAGGCGGACAGUUAAGCCAGAUGUGAAAUCCCAGGGCUCAACCCUGGAACUGCGUCUGGAACUGGUUGUCUAGAAUAUUGGAGAGGGAAUGGGAAUUUCUCAUGUAGGGGUAAAAUCCGUAGAGAUGAGAAGGAACACCAGAGGCGAAGGCGCAUUCCUGGCCAAUUAUUGACGCUGAGGCGCGAAAGCGUGGGGAUCAAACAGGAUUAGAUACCCUGGUAGUCCACGCUGUAAACGAUGUGCACUAGAUGUGGGGAUGUGUCCAUUUCCGCGUCAAAGCUAACGCAUUAAGUGCACCGCCUGGGGAGUACGGUCGCAAGACUAAAACUCAAAGAAUUUGGACGGG